This 1224-nucleotide long non-coding RNA is filed under the name Chloebia gouldiae (Gouldian finch). RNAcentral describes it as "Erythrura gouldiae (Gouldian finch) lncRNA (ENSEGOG00005004503.1)". The record is from RNAcentral. Lineage: Eukaryota; Metazoa; Chordata; Aves; Passeriformes; Passeridae.
CAGAGGGCAUGCAGGUGCGCCGGGUUCAUGAGCUCAGCAGUGCAACAGGAAACAUGGACUCUGGGAGGAAACCCCACACCUGGGUGAAAGCUCCUUUGUAUCAGAUUCUACUUUUCAGAAAACAGGGAAUACAUUAAAGCUGAAAAUUAAAAAAAAAUUGGGCAGCGGGGAAGACAGAAAAUACCCCGAGUAAGCUAAAAAGUGCGAGUCAAAUCUUACAUGUGUACAUGUGCUCCUGCUUCACAUAUAACCACCGAAAUUACUGAGUUUUCCUGCAGUAAUUGGAGCUCCUUGGCGGUUGUUUAUCUCCCUCACGAAUGUCCCGGGACGGAUUAUCCAGGUUCAGCUGCUAGAAAAUCAACCAACCAAUCCUUGGGGCAGGACAUGAAAGGAACAACAUACCCUCAUGGCUGGAAGAAACCAGAGUCAGGAAAUAAAAGGCAGUGAGAGGAAAUGAACAUUCUCUAUUGCCCUCUGCUGCACGUGCCUUCAGGAGGGGCUGGAAGGACUGUCUCUGAGAUGUGGCUGCAUUUGGAUCCCAUGAUUUAUCAGUUGGAAGUACACAGGAAACAACAAAGCUUUCAGCCCCAAGACAUGAAUCCCCAAGAAUCUCUGUCACAAGUGUGUAAAUGUGUCCAACCGCACGGUGUCUUCGGGAGCCCAGCGCGCUGCUCUGCCCUGUCCUGGUGCGGCUCUGACCGGGGCUCUUCGGGCAGUGCAGGAUGCAGCCCAUGGAAAGGAAGACUACAUAGCAGCACUGAGGUGAGCUGGAACAAAGGGAAUUUGGCUCGUGACUCUCUACGGAGCCCUUCUGUGUGGCAUUGGGUCAGGACUGAGUUUUGAAGAUGCCUGCUGGGAUAUCGCUGCAUCCCUAACAACUGAGACCUGAAAUAUAAAACCUCUAAUCUCUUUCAUCGCCUGAGCAGGGUUUAAAACUCCACUCUGGUUGCUCCUCUUCUUUUGUUUUCCAGUCUUUUUCUUGCACUAUUUUCUUGCACAGGAACUAACAGUGGCUGUAACCAUGGUCCUGGUCACAGUCUGGAAUCUUUCCUACUCCCUUUAAACUAUUAAAUUUAAGUAUACGCUCAUGGGCACUGAGGAGGGCUUCAGCAGUAGUUGUGGACACGUUACUGAAGCCAAGGGACAGCCAGGGCAGUAGCGCAUGUCAGAGUGAUUUCAGUCUUGUAUCACAUUUCCAAUAAUAAAACACUAAAAAUCACAACA